This 1256-nucleotide long non-coding RNA is filed under the name Homo sapiens (human). RNAcentral's name for it is "non-protein coding lnc-UBXN4-12:1". Lineage: Eukaryota; Metazoa; Chordata; Mammalia; Primates; Hominidae. The record is from RNAcentral.
CGCCAUUCCCCGCGCUUUCAGCAGACGCAGCCCAUUCAGGAGGUAAAAGGAGUAAAGAUCCUUCCUUCGGAGGAUGUAGCUAUACUUGCACAUUCACAGCAUCACUAGGGUCAGGUGCAGAUAAUUAGGAGAUACUUUCAGAAGAAGGUAGGAUUUGGCAUAAUUCUGGAGACUGAUCAGAUGUAGAUAUGUAUUGCUCAGUAAUUUCAUAAUAGCGGUAACCAAUUCGCGAAUAGUGCUUUAUUAUCCUAAAAGUAUGCUUUAUUAUAAGAGUAAUUUAGCGACCAGUACUUUUUGUAACAGAUCACUAGGAACUUGCACAGAAUCACUCAUUCAUUCUCACAACACCGUGUGGGUAUUACCAUCACAGAGAUGCAUUUAGUCCGAUAUUUAUAGAAGGACGAACUGCGUGCCACGCACUGUUCUAGGCGUUGGGGAUCCAGCGUGAACCAGACAAGGCCCGCAUUCGGAGAAACCAGCAAAUAAGCCCGGAGAGAUGAAAUGCCAGGGAUGGGCAGGGAUUCCAAGCCGGGCUUGAACCCAGGUCUUCGGUCCCCAUACUCGGCGUCUUCCACGAUUUUGAGCAGAGGACAAGCUUUGGCACGAAUCAGAAAUUAGGUUGAAGAACUGGGCGGGGCGGAGUGGGGGUGGGGGUCAGACGUUUAAAGCGAUCUCAGACUGGCUGAGGUUUGCAGUGGGCGCGCAGACAGUGCUUUCCCCCUCGCGCCACUUCCCUCCGGCGCGGAGACUGGGUGGGGCGGGGGAGCGAGUGUGGGGCGGGGCCGAGAAACUGCGUCCGCAGGCGGGGUGGCCGCUGCGGAGAUAGCUGGGACCGAGGCGCGUGCGUCGCGACACGGACCCCAGAGGCCCCCACCCCGAAAUGGUCCCGAGGAGAGGGAUUGCCCAGACUGCACUCUACACACGAUCCCUCUUUUCUAUAUCAAAAGAGGAAACAUUUCAGUCUGGAGUGUUCCAGAGGUAGUUCGGAGGCAGGGAACCUUUUCUCUACAGAGCAUGACUUUCCCCCUUUGUCUGGGACCCCUCCCUAAUGUUGGUGGUUAAAGGUUCUCAUCUACUCUGCACUUUCACUGACACAGGAAAGAUGAUAUCCGGGCCGGGAGAUGGGACUCUCAGAAACGAACGAGUUAGGACACACACUAAUGGCCAGAUAAAAUCAAUUCUAAUAUUACAUUUGUAGAAUUAAAAAAAAAAAAAGAAACUCCAGGUUCUUGGAGGGUGGUGGCUGGAAGAGGUUU